RNAcentral lists this ribosomal RNA (30 nucleotides) under Neohypochnicium subrigescens. RNAcentral's name for it is "Hypochnicium subrigescens partial large subunit ribosomal RNA". Lineage: Eukaryota; Fungi; Basidiomycota; Agaricomycetes; Polyporales. The record is from RNAcentral.
ACCUCAAAUCAGGUAGGACUACCCGCUGAA